Podarcis lilfordi (Lilford's wall lizard) is the source of this 76-nucleotide non-coding RNA. The record is from the annotation of a GenBank genome assembly. Lineage: Eukaryota; Metazoa; Chordata; Lepidosauria; Squamata; Lacertidae.
GGAAAGGGCUGUAGCUCGGUAGUAGAGCAUCUGGUUUGCAUAUAGAGGGUCCCAUGUUCAAUCCAGGGUCUCUCCA